GGGUUGUGAGGUUAAGCGACUAAGCGUACACGGUGGAUGCCCUGGCAGUCAGAGGCGAUGAAGGACGUGCUAAUCUGCGAUAAGCGCCGGUAAGGUGAUAUGAACCGUUAUAACCGGCGAUUUCCGAAUGGGGAAACCCAGUGUGAUUCGUCACACUAUCAUUAACUGAAUCCAUAGGUUAAUGAGGCGAACCGGGGGAACUGAAACAUCUAAGUACCCCGAGGAAAAGAAAUCAACCGAGAUUCCCCCAGUAGCGGCGAGCGAACGGGGAGGAGCCCAGAGCCUGAAUCAGCAUGUGUGUUAGUGGAAGCGUCUGGAAAGGCGCGCGAUACAGGGUGACAGCCCCGUACACAAAAGCGCAUGUGCUGUGAGCUCGAUGAGUAGGGCGGGACACGUGGUAUCCUGUCUGAAUAUGGGGGGACCAUCCUCCAAGGCUAAAUACUCCUGACUGACCGAUAGUGAACCAGUACCGUGAGGGAAAGGCGAAAAGAACCCCGGCGAGGGGAGUGAAAAAGAACCUGAAACCGUGUACGUACAAGCAGUGGGAGCACAGGUUUACCUGUGUGACUGCGUACCUUUUGUAUAAUGGGUCAGCGACUUAUAUUCUGUAGCAAGGUUAACCGAAUAGGGGAGCCGGAGGGAAACCGAGUCUUAACCGGGCGUUAAGUUGCAGGGUAUAGACCCGAAACCCGGUGAUCUAGCCAUGGGCAGGUUGAAGGUUGGGUAACACUAACUGGAGGACCGAACCGACUAAUGUUGAAAAAUUAGCGGAUGACCUGUGGCUGGGGGUGAAAGGCCAAUCAAACCGGGAGAUAGCUGGUUCUCCCCGAAAGCUAUUUAGGUAGCGCCUCGUGAAUUCAUCUCCGGGGGUAGAGCACUGUUUCGGCUAGGGGGUCAUCCCGACUUACCAACCCGAUGCAAACUGCGAAUACCGGAGAAUGUUAUCACGGGAGACACACGGCGGGUGCUAACGUCCGUCGUGAAGAGGGAAACAACCCAGACCGCCAGCUAAGGUCCCAAAGUCAUGGUUAAGUGGGAAACGAUGUGGGAAGGCCCAGACAGCCAGGAUGUUGGCUUAGAAGCAGCCAUCAUUUAAAGAAAGCGUAAUAGCUCACUGGUCGAGUCGGCCUGCGCGGAAGAUGUAACGGGGCUAAACCAUGCACCGAAGCUGCGGCAGCGACACUGUGUGUUGUUGGGUAGGGGAGCGUUCUGUAAGCCUGUGAAGGUGGCCUGUGAGGGUUGCUGGAGGUAUCAGAAGUGCGAAUGCUGACAUAAGUAACGAUAAAGCGGGUGAAAAGCCCGCUCGCCGGAAGACCAAGGGUUCCUGUCCAACGUUAAUCGGGGCAGGGUGAGUCGACCCCUAAGGCGAGGCCGAAAGGCGUAGUCGAUGGGAAACGGGUUAAUAUUCCCGUACUUGGUGUUACUGCGAAGGGGGGACGGAGAAGGCUAUGUUGGCCGGGCGACGGUUGUCCCGGUUUAAGCGUGUAGGUGUGUGUUCCAGGUAAAUCCGGUUCACUUUAACACUGAGGCGUGA
Molecule: ribosomal RNA, 1534 nt
Filed under: Salmonella enterica
Lineage: Bacteria; Pseudomonadati; Pseudomonadota; Gammaproteobacteria; Enterobacterales; Enterobacteriaceae
Description: partial 23S ribosomal RNA
Rfam family: Bacterial large subunit ribosomal RNA
Source: RNAcentral